This 257-nucleotide ribosomal RNA is filed under the name uncultured Pseudomonas sp. RNAcentral describes it as "partial 16S ribosomal RNA". It matches the Rfam family "Bacterial small subunit ribosomal RNA", at positions 96 to 354 of the family's 1533-position model. The record is from RNAcentral. Lineage: Bacteria; Pseudomonadati; Pseudomonadota; Gammaproteobacteria; Pseudomonadales; Pseudomonadaceae.
CGGCGGACGGGUUAGUAAUGCCUAGGAAUCUGCCUGGUAGUGGGGGACAACGUUUCGAAAGGAACGCUAAUACCGCAUACGUCCUACGGGAGAAAGCAGGGGACCUUCGGGCCUUGCGCUAUCAGAUGAGCCUAGGUCGGAUUAGCUAGUUGGUGAGGUAAUGGCUCACCAAGGCGACGAUCCGUAACUGGUCUGAGAGGAUGAUCAGUCACACUGGAACUGAGACACGGUCCAGAAUCCUACGGGAGGCAGCAGAG